RNAcentral lists this ribosomal RNA (1554 nucleotides) under Klebsiella pneumoniae. RNAcentral's name for it is "bacterial SSU rRNA". It matches the Rfam family "Bacterial small subunit ribosomal RNA". The record is from RNAcentral. Lineage: Bacteria; Pseudomonadati; Pseudomonadota; Gammaproteobacteria; Enterobacterales; Enterobacteriaceae.
ACUUAAAUUGAAGAGUUUGAUCAUGGCUCAGAUUGAACGCUGGCGGCAGGCCUAACACAUGCAAGUCGAGCGGUAGCACAGAGAGCUUGCUCUCGGGUGACGAGCGGCGGACGGGUGAGUAAUGUCUGGGAAACUGCCUGAUGGAGGGGGAUAACUACUGGAAACGGUAGCUAAUACCGCAUAAUGUCGCAAGACCAAAGUGGGGGACCUUCGGGCCUCAUGCCAUCAGAUGUGCCCAGAUGGGAUUAGCUAGUAGGUGGGGUAACGGCUCACCUAGGCGACGAUCCCUAGCUGGUCUGAGAGGAUGACCAGCCACACUGGAACUGAGACACGGUCCAGACUCCUACGGGAGGCAGCAGUGGGGAAUAUUGCACAAUGGGCGCAAGCCUGAUGCAGCCAUGCCGCGUGUGUGAAGAAGGCCUUCGGGUUGUAAAGCACUUUCAGCGGGGAGGAAGGCGUUAAGGUUAAUAACCUUGGCGAUUGACGUUACCCGCAGAAGAAGCACCGGCUAACUCCGUGCCAGCAGCCGCGGUAAUACGGAGGGUGCAAGCGUUAAUCGGAAUUACUGGGCGUAAAGCGCACGCAGGCGGUCUGUCAAGUCGGAUGUGAAAUCCCCGGGCUCAACCUGGGAACUGCAUUCGAAACUGGCAGGCUAGAGUCUUGUAGAGGGGGGUAGAAUUCCAGGUGUAGCGGUGAAAUGCGUAGAGAUCUGGAGGAAUACCGGUGGCGAAGGCGGCCCCCUGGACAAAGACUGACGCUCAGGUGCGAAAGCGUGGGGAGCAAACAGGAUUAGAUACCCUGGUAGUCCACGCCGUAAACGAUGUCGAUUUGGAGGUUGUGCCCUUGAGGCGUGGCUUCCGGAGCUAACGCGUUAAAUCGACCGCCUGGGGAGUACGGCCGCAAGGUUAAAACUCAAAUGAAUUGACGGGGGCCCGCACAAGCGGUGGAGCAUGUGGUUUAAUUCGAUGCAACGCGAAGAACCUUACCUGGUCUUGACAUCCACAGAACUUUCCAGAGAUGGAUUGGUGCCUUCGGGAACUGCGAGACAGGUGCUGCAUGGCUGUCGUCAGCUCGUGUUGUGAAAUGUUGGGUUAAGUCCCGCAACGAGCGCAACCCUUAUCCUUUGUUGCCAGCGGUCCGGCCGGGAACUCAAAGGAGACUGCCAGUGAUAAACUGGAGGAAGGUGGGGAUGACGUCAAGUCAUCAUGGCCCUUACGACCAGGGCUACACACGUGCUACAAUGGCAUAUACAAAGAGAAGCGACCUCGCGAGAGCAAGCGGACCUCAUAAAGUAUGUCGUAGUCCGGAUUGGAGUCUGCAACUCGACUCCAUGAAGUCGGAAUCGCUAGUAAUCGUAGAUCAGAAUGCUACGGUGAAUACGUUCCCGGGCCUUGUACACACCGCCCGUCACACCAUGGGAGUGGGUUGCAAAAGAAGUAGGUAGCUUAACCUUCGGGAGGGCGCUUACCACUUUGUGAUUCAUGACUGGGGUGAAGUCGUAACAAGGUAACCGUAGGGGAACCUGCGGUUGGAUCACCUCCUUACCUUAAAGAA